This is a non-coding RNA of Podarcis lilfordi (Lilford's wall lizard), 71 nucleotides long. Lineage: Eukaryota; Metazoa; Chordata; Lepidosauria; Squamata; Lacertidae. The record is from the annotation of a GenBank genome assembly.
GGGCCAUAGCUCAAUGGAAGAACAUAUGCCUUGCAUGCAGAAGGUCCCAGAUUCAAACCCCAGCAUCUCCA